Molecule: ribosomal RNA, 148 nt
Filed under: uncultured archaeon
Lineage: Archaea
Description: partial 16S ribosomal RNA
Rfam family: Archaeal small subunit ribosomal RNA
Source: RNAcentral
ACGGGGAGCAGCAGGCGCGAAAACUCUCCAAUGUGCGAAAGCGUGAGAGGGGAACUCCUAGUGCUACAGGUUUAACCUGUGGCUUUUGCCAAGUGUAAAUAGCUUGGCGAAUAAGUGGUGGGCAAGACUGGUGCCAGCAGCGCGGUAA